GACAUGAUAUCUACCCUUUUCGCAUACAUAGUUACCUGCCCCUUUUUACUAACCAUCCCCAAAAGUUUAUUACACAUUAUUACAACCCAGAAUAAAGUAAAAAAUACAUCACAAAACAUAGAUGAAAGUAAAUCAAAUGAGAACCUAAUUCAGACUUCAUGUCUGAAAUAUGAGGUAAACCAACUCCAGAAGAUCAUGAUGCAACGCCUUUCUCCCAUUUGAGUGUGUCAAAGUUCCCUAAAAGUCUAAAAGGGAAUCCGAGAAAUGCUCACACCCAAAUGUAUUAUCAGAUUGGGGGACAAGUUCAGUGUGGAAGGGUCAGCUCUCAAGUGUCCAAGUUCAGAGGAAACUCAAAGGAUCCCAAGGCAAGCCUCACAAGAGGGGGGCAGAACUUAAAGACUAAGAAAGUGUGCUAGUACAUAACAGAAUGCUAAAAGGGGAAAAGAGAGGAAAACAGCUACAAAUAAGCACACAUAAGGGAUUCAGGGGAAGAGGGAGGUUGUAAAGAGCCUAUUGCUAAGGAAAGGGCAGACUUUAGGCAUGCCCUGCAAUGGAGAAUGCUAGCAAACCUAUAAGCCUGGCAAAACAUAUGUUAUUAGAGGCUAGGAUCCCAGGGGAUCAAAUUUGAUCCAUGGACAAUAACUUGCAGUAUUGUCAUGCCUCAAACCAUAAUUUAAACAUAUAGGGGGUAGGGGUUUUGGAUUUAUAGUAGAACAUACAGAAAGAAAUCAGUAUACUUGAGUAAGUGUUGAACUAUACAUAAGAAAUAAACAAGGAUACAAAAAAGAAUAAAGAAACACAUUGUUGCGGUGCUAGAAAAAACGUAAAUCAGGACAUACCAGUUUCAAAGAAGAAAAUAGAAAAAAAGCAAGGAACAGGUCUUGUAACAUGCCACAGUACAAGCAAACAAGAGAGAACACUUUUGAGUGUAAGUGUAAACUCAGAAUACUACGAGUGAUGGAUGAUUUUGUGAAAGAGUCGUGUAUUUGUAGUGUGAAAAAUAGGUAGAAAUAAGGUAAUAAAAUAAUUAAGGAACUGGGUAUCAAUCAAAAUCAAUCAGUACAAGACUUCCUUUAAUUAAGGAAUUCUAACUUAAAGGGUAAUGAGCUAGAAAAUUAUUUAAGGAAAGAGAUCAAACAAGCAUAUUGUGCAAAGUAGGCAAUUAGGGAUAAAUACAUAGAAGUUUAUUGAGGGGAAGAGUUUUUGAAAUAAACAGUCAAAACAAAAUAAAGUAAGAAUCAAUUAGUACACAGUAAACCAAGGGGUCAGAGAUUUUUGUAAUCACUGGUCCAUAAAUGAACCAAGUCAGAAAAGCUAAGGAAAGCUUUUGCCUCAAAUCGAGUAACAAGAAAACCAAGGAAAAAAAUCAAUCAAACUUAUACAAAGAAAGUCUGAAAUCAAUCAAAAUUGAAAACCCUUUUAGAGGGAAGUUCAGCACAUAUAUAAAGAGAACAUAAAUAUGUUAGGAUGAAUUUAGGGCGAAGAAAAACGUCAUGUAAUUGCAAAAUCAGUAACUAACAGAUCAUAGGAACAUGGUAGUCAUAUAGGUCAGCAAUGUAGAAGAGAGAUAGUAUCAAAUAACAUAUAAAGGGUCCAGUUUAAAGACCUUAGAAGAUUUUAGUAGAGAAUCAAAAUUGCUUAAAGAAAUAUAGGUUCAAAUAAAGAUUUCAAGACUCAGUUGAGCAACAGACGAAACAAAUUCAGAAACUUGAAAUAGUAGGGUUUCAGAAAUCAAAUAAUUUCAAAGGUGAAGAACAAGCAUAUCACAUAGCCAAUAGUCUCAAAACUCGGAUGAACCCCCAAAUUCUGGGGUUUUCACCAUCAAUCGAGUGUAGAGAUGUGAGGACAAGUAAUCAAGGAAAAAAAUGCUAACCGAAACAGGUUCAGGGGUCUCAAAAAGGAAUUGAGACCUUUAACAUGCUCUUUUAGUAGCAGGAACUCAUGAGAAGCAUAGUAAUAGACAACAUGCAAAAUACAGUAGAAGAACUCAAAGAAACAUAGUUGAAUAACUAAUAAGAAACCUAGUGGAAGAAACUAAUAAGAACAGUACGAGAAACAUAUACAGAAGCAUAUCAGAAGAAACUUAUCAAGAACACAGUAGGAGAAAUAUAUAAAGAAGCAUAUUAGAAGAAACUUAUCAAGAACACGGUAGGAGAAACAUAUAAAAACACAGUAAAGGAAACUGAUAAGAGCAUGGAAGAAGAAACUUAACAAGAAUACAGUUGAAGAAACUUAAUAAGAAAUAUAGUAGAAGAAACACACAAAGAAAAAAGAAAAUCAGAGAAACAUCUAAAUAACUCAAAACCCUAGAUCGAAAAAAAUAAAAUAAAAGUUCUUUUUUGAAAGUAUAGUUUUGAAAGAAAUGUCAAGAUAUUGUUAAUAAGUUUAGGGAAAAUACGGAUCUAGAACAGAUCUAAAGAAAUCAGAAGAAUCUUGAAAGCUAGGGUUUUAGAGGAACCCAAAAGAUGAGAAAGGCUUGGAUAGAUUUAAGAAGGAGGAGUCGAGGUCAAGGUUGAAAAACCAUGGCUUGCCAGAGCAAGGCCAGAGAUAGCCAAAUAACUUGAAUCAAACAAGGUCUGCACGAAGCUUCUUCGUGGUCAGGCCAUGAAACAUCAGCAACCAAGCGUGUAUGAACCAUGGAAGGCUGGUAGGUGGUGAGACCACCAUGGAUUCAGG
This 2676-nucleotide long non-coding RNA is filed under the name Nicotiana benthamiana. RNAcentral describes it as "long non-coding RNA (NBEN_LNC012323)". Lineage: Eukaryota; Viridiplantae; Streptophyta; Magnoliopsida; Solanales; Solanaceae. The record is from RNAcentral.